Molecule: transfer RNA, 72 nt
Filed under: Phrynosoma platyrhinos (Desert horned lizard)
Lineage: Eukaryota; Metazoa; Chordata; Lepidosauria; Squamata; Phrynosomatidae
Description: tRNA-OTHER
Source: RNAcentral
GACAUCGUGGUGUAGUGGUUUGAGCCUUGGACUACAACUCUGGAGACCAGGGUUCAAUUCCUUGCUUGGCCA